UUACACAUACUCCUCCCUUUAACCGAGACCUGUGGGGAGGUUAAGCAAGUCUCUAAUACCUUUAUCUGAGGGUGGUAAAGGAAUAAUCUAACAG
This is a regulatory RNA element of 94 nucleotides. It matches the Rfam family "PhotoRC-II RNA". The record is from Rfam.